UACGUAGGGCGCAAGCGUUGUCCGGAAUUAUUGGGCGUAAAGAGCUCGUAGGCGGUGUGUCGCGUCGGCCGUGAAAACCUGCAGCUUAACUGUGGGCUUGCGGUCGAUACGGGCAUCACUGGAGUUCGGCAGGGGAGACUGGAAUUCCUGGUGUAGCGGUGAAAUGCGCAGAUAUCGGGAGGAACACCGGUGGCGAAGGCGGUUCUCUGGGCCUGACCUGACGCUGAGGAGCGAAAGCGUGGGGAGCGAACAGG
Molecule: ribosomal RNA, 254 nt
Filed under: uncultured bacterium
Lineage: Bacteria
Description: partial 16S ribosomal RNA
Rfam family: Bacterial small subunit ribosomal RNA
Source: RNAcentral